Long non-coding RNA from Lontra canadensis (Northern American river otter), 215 nucleotides. RefSeq lists it as uncharacterized. The record is from RefSeq and is a predicted model, not a curated record. NCBI's taxonomy places the organism in Eukaryota, Metazoa, Chordata, Mammalia, Carnivora, Mustelidae. The transcript has 4 exons.
GAGAAAAUUUUCAGAAGUUCUUGCUUUGCUACCUUGCUGAUGUCACCUGAGGAGAGAGCUUUUGAAGAGAAGAGCAAAAAGAGGGCUACUCACAACCUGGAUUGAUGUUGUCCAUUCCUCAAAAGUUUAAAUUAACUAUCCAUGUGGGAAUGGAACUCUGGCUGCCAUCUGGAAUUAUGAGGGAGAAGGGACAUGAGAAGGAAGUCCUUCAGAAC